UUAAUAUAAUAAUAAAUUUAUUGUUUUAAUAGAAAGUGAAAUUUAUAAUUAAAUUAUAAUAAUUAUUUUUAUUAUAUAAUAUUAAAAUUAUAAAGGUAUGGAUAUAAACCAGGAUUAGAUACCCUGUUAUACUUUACUGUUAAUAAUUUACUUGAGUAGUAAUCAGCUAUGAUCUUGAAACUUAAAGGAUUUGGCGGUAUUCAAGUCUAGUUAGAGGAACCUGCUCUAUAAACGAUAUGCCACGUAAUAUCUUACUUUUGUUUGUUAUUCAGUUUGUAUACCGCCAUUAAUAAGUAAUGUUAAUAAAUAUAUUCUGGAAUAAUAUUAUUUAGUAUAUUAGGUCAAGGUGCAGCUAAUGUAAAAGAAGAAGUGGGUUACAAUACAUUAUAUGUGCGGAUAAAUAAAUUAUAAUUAUUUUAAAGUUGGAUUUAAUAGUAACAUUAUUUUAAUAUGAUAGUUUGAUAUUAGCUCUAGAAUAUGCACACAUCGCCCGUCGCUCUCAUUA
This 505-nucleotide ribosomal RNA is filed under the name Ancylomenes pedersoni. RNAcentral describes it as "partial small subunit ribosomal RNA". Lineage: Eukaryota; Metazoa; Arthropoda; Malacostraca; Decapoda; Palaemonidae. The record is from RNAcentral.